CGCUGUAUUUUAUUUCGAUUUUAAUUAACUUUCAAUUUAAUUUUAAAUUAUAAACUCGUUUUAUUUUGGAUUUAUUUGAUUAAAAGGUUUGGCAUUUUAUUUGGUUUUAUAAAUUGGUUUAAUUCGGUAUUUUACUAUAAGUAGCACACCGUUCUCGAAAGAGGAGGAGACGGGUGUUAUACUUUUGUCCAGUGUUUUUAAAACAGGACCGGAAGCCGAACGGAUAAUGUUUGGGUCACAGUUCAAUAUGGUUCGACUGGGUUAAACAUGGUUCAAUAAUCUGGUUUAAUAUAUUUUUACUGUAUAAAAUUAAAAGUAAUGUUAGUAAAUGACUAAAUUUUAUACAUAAUUAAAACAUAAAUGAAUUUAAAACAUAAAACAUUAUAAAUAUAAACUAGUUUUAUGUUUAUAUGGAUGGUUUAUAGAUUUUUGAUAGUUUUAAU
RNAcentral lists this long non-coding RNA (443 nucleotides) under Brassica napus (rape). Its description in RNAcentral is "long non-coding RNA (BNAP_LNC017487)". Lineage: Eukaryota; Viridiplantae; Streptophyta; Magnoliopsida; Brassicales; Brassicaceae. The record is from RNAcentral.